RNAcentral lists this ribosomal RNA (429 nucleotides) under Verrucomicrobiota bacterium. RNAcentral's name for it is "Verrucomicrobia bacterium partial 16S ribosomal RNA". It matches the Rfam family "Bacterial small subunit ribosomal RNA", at positions 355 to 776 of the family's 1533-position model. Lineage: Bacteria; Pseudomonadati; Verrucomicrobiota. The record is from RNAcentral.
UAGGGAAUCUUCCGCAAUGGACGAAAGUCUGACGGAGCAACGCCGCGUGAGUGAAGAAGGAUUUCGGUUCGUAAAACUCUGUUGUUAGGGAAGAAAAAAUGUAUAGUAACUAUAUACAAAAGAGACGGUACCUAACCAGAAAGCCACGGCUAACUACGUGCCAGCAGCCGCGGUAAUACGUAGGUGGCAAGCGUUGUCCGGAAUUAUUGGGCGUAAAGCGCGCGCAGGUGGUUUAGAAAGUCUGAUGUGAAAGCCCACGGCUCAAACGUGGAGGGUCAUUGGAAACUAAUAAACUUGAGUGCAGGAGAGAAAAGUGGAAUUCCUAGUGUAGCGGUGAAAUGCGUAGAGAUUAGGAGGAACACCGGUGGCGAAAGCGGCUUUUUGGCCUGCAACUGACACUGAGGCGCGAAAGCGUGGGGAGCAAACAGG